UACGAAGGGUGCAAGCGUUACUCGGAAUUACUGGGCGUAAAGCGUGCGCAGGCGGUUUUGUAAGCCAGAUGUGAAAGCCCCGGGCUUAACCUGGGAAUGGCAUUUGGGACUGCAAGGCUAGAGUGUGGCAGAGGAGACUGGAAUUCCUGGUGUAGCAGUGAAAUGCGUAGAUAUCAGGAGGAAUACCGAUGGCGAAGGCAGGUCUCUGGGUUAACACUGACGCUCAUGCACGAAAGCGUGGGGAGCAAACAGG
Molecule: ribosomal RNA, 253 nt
Filed under: uncultured bacterium
Lineage: Bacteria
Description: partial 16S ribosomal RNA
Rfam family: Bacterial small subunit ribosomal RNA
Source: RNAcentral